RNAcentral lists this ribosomal RNA (694 nucleotides) under uncultured bacterium. RNAcentral describes it as "bacterial SSU rRNA". It matches the Rfam family "Bacterial small subunit ribosomal RNA", at positions 32 to 715 of the family's 1533-position model. The record is from RNAcentral.
AACGCUAGCUACAGGCUUAACACAUGCAAGUCGAGGGGCAGCAUGGUCUUAGCUUGCUAAGGCCGAUGGCGACCGGCGCACGGGUGAGUAACACGUAUCCAACCUGCCGUCUACUCUUGGACAGUCUUCUGAAAGGAAGAUUAAUACAAGAUGGCAUCAUGAGUCCGCAUGUUCACAUGAUUAAAGGUAUUCCGGUAGACGAUGGGGAUGCGUUCCAUUAGAUAGUAGGCGGGGUAACGGCCCACCUAGUCUUCGAUGGAUAGGGGUUCUGAGAGGAAGGUCCCCCACAUUGGAACUGAGACACGGUCCAAACUCCUACGGGAGGCAGCAGUGAGGAAUAUUGGUCAAUGGGCGAGAGCCUGAACCAGCCAAGUAGCGUGAAGGAUGACUGCCCUAUGGGUUGUAAACUUCUUUUAUAAAGGAAUAAAGUCGGGUAUGGAUACCCGUUUGCAUGUACUUUAUGAAUAAGGAUCGGCUAACUCCGUGCCAGCAGCCGCGGUAAUACGGAGGAUCCGAGCGUUAUCCGGAUUUAUUGGGUUUAAAGGGAGCGUAGAUGGAUGUUUAAGUCAGUUGUGAAAGUUUGCGGCUCAACCGUAAAAUUGCAGUUGAUACUGGAUAUCUUGAGUGCAGUUGAGGCAGGCGGAAUUCGUGGUGUAGCGGUGAAAUGCUUAGAUAUCACGAAGAACUCCGAUUG